UUUUUACUCAAUUGAUUUUUCUAAGUAAAUCGAUUUUCCUCCAUGCCACCGUCUGGGUCGAGCUUCGUCGGGGGUCGAGUUGCCGAUGAGAUGAGUGUGGGGUCGAGAUUCGAGUUCCGUCAUGGGGUCGAGUUACCUCCGGGAUGAGUGUGGGGGUUGUU
Juglans microcarpa x Juglans regia is the source of this 161-nucleotide long non-coding RNA. RefSeq lists it as uncharacterized. The record is from RefSeq and is a predicted model, not a curated record. NCBI's taxonomy places the organism in Eukaryota, Viridiplantae, Streptophyta, Magnoliopsida, Fagales, Juglandaceae. The transcript is spliced from 3 exons.